Ixodes scapularis (black-legged tick) is the source of this 3717-nucleotide RNA transcript. RefSeq lists it as uncharacterized. The transcript is spliced from 5 exons. The record is from RefSeq and is a predicted model, not a curated record. NCBI's taxonomy places the organism in Eukaryota, Metazoa, Arthropoda, Arachnida, Ixodida, Ixodidae.
GCGAGCGCCUAUCCAGAGAUCUGCCCGUGCCUAGAUCUGGGGACAACGCCAGCGUAGGGAAAACCGCUCGUAGGGAAUCCGUUCGGAUGGUAGUGAUGAUGAUGAUAAUCAUGUCAUAUAACACCUGAGACUGUGGUCGAAGAAAUUGGAAACUUUUUAGUAGAAGGAUCAGACACAAAAAGGGACGUCUCAAACUCAGCUAACUGGUUUAUUUCUCGACUAUCCUAUAUCAUGAUUGACUUGCCCACUGGCGCCAACCUCCUCGCUGUUUUCAACGGUUCUCAGGUGCUCAGGUUGCCGGAGCGGCGUGUUUGAACCGUUUGAACCACAGGCACCACAGGUUUGAACCGUUUCAACGGGAGUAAUGGCAAAACGGACGGAGUAGCACUGCGUGGCCUCGCAAUCCCAGCGACCCGACGAGCUCGCAAAGCGGUGCUCGGAAGACGACGCUCCCAAAGCCGACGACGCGCACUCACCUCUGUGGACAGCGAAGAAACAUCGUCGCACUGUGACAACGGCGACUAGUACACGGCGACUAGUACACGGCAUAAGUACAAGUGCAUGAUUUGUGAGAUGUGCUUCAAGAAAAUCUACAACUUAAAGAGGCACCUAAAGGAGGUUCACGGGGACGCUGACACCAGCUGGAUCACACUGUCCGCUGCCGCCUUGCAUGCGAUCUGUGUCCAACAGCUUUUGCAUUCCAUUGGGGACUUGCUGCGCCACUUUGAAGCGAAACACGGGAUCGUCGCGAGGCGUGACAAGUUAAAGUUCAAUUUGUUGAAAGGUGCACGGUCCUCAAAAAGCUUGCGCACCAACUGCACUGAUCAAAGCUAUGCAACUCAGAGUACUCCUGGAGAAGCGGCAAUCAGUUCAUUGCAUGACGUUUCAUCGACAGCUCAGAUUACCUUUUUUUCUGUAAUAAGCUGCAUGAGACUGUCACUGCGACAGUCUCGUGCAGUGUCGGUAAGAAUCCAGCGACUGGAGGGAGGCUAAGGAUGGCAGAGAGCAUGUUCGCUUCAUUCUCCACGACGGACCCAAGGGACGAGAUGAGGGUGUCCUGAAAAGGUAUUACUACUGCCACCGCUCUGGAUCAUUUCAGAGCAAGAGGUAAAUGACAACUGAGAACCCAGGGCACUUGUAAGACUAAUGUGCAAUGCUUAGCCACAAUUCAAGCUACAGAGAAAGAUGGCAAGGUGACAGUAGAGUACCAGGCAGAACACUACGGCCACCCGAAGGAACUGAAGCACCAGCGCCUCUUUACGACUGAGAAGGAGGCUUUAGCUGAUAAACUAAAGCAAGGCAUCCCCGCCCGUAAAGAUCUGGUAGACGCACAUUCUUCUGCUGGCAGUGAGAUGGGCAGGCUACAUUUGCUCUCAAUGAAAGACAUUGGCAACAUCUCCGCCAAGCAUGAAAUUUUGACGAAAGAGCUACGGCACUGAACAAAGUCAGAUUCCCCAGUCCUGUACUGACAUGGAGGAAGGAAAACAAAAAGAGAGCUUUGAGCUUGCCCUGAUGACUGUCCCUCAGAAAGAACGCCUCACAAAGCUUGGCCCCAAGUUUCUGUGCAUUGACUACACUCAUAAUAUAAAUGGCCACAAUCUGCAACUGAAGACUCAUGACAGCUGCAGAAGAUCAGUCAGGCAUGCCAUGCACAUAUUUGAUCUCAAAGUAACUAGACACCAAGGCUAUGAAACACUCCUUAAGGCCAUAAAGGUAAUGCAUGGGAGGAAGUGAUGGGCUGUGCCCAACAUUGGAUGCUCUGCUCGUGGCAUGUAAGCCACGACUGGGCUCUGAAGUUGCAGUCAGUCCAAGAUAUAAGCAAACCCGUGACCGUCUUUGCGACGAGUUGUGGGCGCUGAGAAAUUGCAAAGAUGAGGGUCAAUUCCAACGACCUCCGACAGGCUUCCCGUGUCAGAAACUAAGUGAAGAGGCUGAUCCAAAACUAAUUCAACAAGUACAGGAGUUUCUUCAGUACUUUGGGCACUACCAUGGUGGCAGAGCCUAACAGUGGGCGCUCUGCUUCAGAAAGGGCAUUCCUUUUAAUACUACCAACCACUUGGAGGCAAUGUACAAGGACCUGAAGUCACGCUAAUGCAUGGAACUCACAACCAGAGGCUUGACAAGCUGUUGAUGAUCCUCUUCGAACUGAGCCGUGACCGGCUCUACAAGCGUCCCAAGUCGCUCGUAAAAGGAAAAACGAAUCGGCAUGAUGCAGCCCUUUUUCGGAGGCACCAGGAGGGGAUGAAAAUUCCAGCAUCAGAUGUAGAACAGCUGCAAAAUGGCAAUGGCUGACUUGUAAAGUCUCAGUCCCAGACAGAGAGAAGCUACCAUGUUGAGAAGGGCGACCCCCGCCAGAGUUGCGUGCUUCGUUGCAGGGACUGUGAUAUCUUUAUCGACAGUUACAAGUGCACUUGCAAUGACAGCCUGAUUUCAUCAUCAAUGUGCAAGCAUAUUCACGCAGUAGCUUACCUGGGGAUUCAUGUGACGACCGUGGAGGAGGCCGACACUGAGCCAGGUGUAGAAAUGCCAUCAACAACACGUGAAGCAACAGGCUUUACGUUAGAUGAUGAGCCACAGUCCCUCUUGAUGACAUUCGGCAGGGUAUUGAGUUUGGGAUGGAGAAGACUCAACCAAAUUCAAAGGACAACAUAUGUUUAACAAUAAGUGGACUGAACAAGUCCCUCUCCAGGAAGAAAUUGACAAGCUCUUCAAGCUCCCUGGUGUUGAAAUACCGUACCAAGGCCCAAGAAGUACUUGACUCUGUUCCAGAUGAGACUUCUCCAAAACCUAGGGUAAUCCCUCACAAAAAAAAGAUGGAAAAACAACCACGGUACUUUCCCCCCCAAAAGACGCCCUGGUUCUGGUCCCAUGCAUGGCAAACCUCCCACCAGCUUGGAGCAGCAGCACAUCAUGCAGGGCCUUGUAGCCAGAGGGAGUGACCACUGGCGACCACAAGCAUGAGGAUCUGCUACAGGAAGCAUAAUCAUGUACCUGGACCUCGAGACCGGUGGCCUUGGAGAUGUCAGCAAGGCUACGGGGUGAUUUGCUCACCGCGAGGCUGUGCAAUUUAGUGGCAUGGAACUAGUGCCUCAUUUCGGAGAUCUCCAUGGCGAGUGAACAGUGUAAGGCUGGUGGGGCAAGAAGUUUAUUGGAAGGUUUUGUCAUGCCAUGGUGAUCAACAUUCAUGACAGGUUCAUCUGCCGAACUAGCUAUGCAAUAGAGGCAAGCCUGCUAAGUCACUGGGAUUAGUCGUCAGUGUGUGGCGCAGAGGACUUCUAGGGACAAGUCCAGGAGACGAACAUGCAAUAUUUAUAUUCUGUCUAUAUUUUGGUGAACCAAUGUUACUGUUGACAUUUAAGUGUGGGACAUUUCGCUUCUGCGGCAAAAGAUAUGUCAGGUGUGUAAUGGGGUCCCACAAAAAAUACCUAUGCUUUGUCUUGAGCUAUGUUCAUAGAGACAUGGCAAGGGGGGGCCAGAAGACUGAUGAAAGUUGUGCCGGUGAUGGUCACAGUUUGGGAGAUGUUGCGGAUGGCUAUGUGAUGGGGUGCUGUGACCUUUGAUGGACAACUGUUUCACUGAGUCAAACUGUGGCAGUGUUUCUGCUAUCUUGAGAGGCAGCAUGGUAACGCAUCAACACAGUGACAGAUUUUACUUUAAACUCAAAAUGGGGCACAGGAAUAAAACAACUUGCUUGCCUCAUCGAGGCACGUCUUCAAA